This 440-nucleotide ribosomal RNA is filed under the name uncultured bacterium. Its description in RNAcentral is "partial 16S ribosomal RNA". It matches the Rfam family "Bacterial small subunit ribosomal RNA", at positions 338 to 795 of the family's 1533-position model. The record is from RNAcentral.
CCUACGGGAGGCAGCAGUGGGGAAUAUUGCACAAUGGGGGAAACCCUGAUGCAGCGACGCCGCGUGAGUGAAGAAGUAUUUCGGUACGUAAAGCUCUAUCAGCAGGGAAGAAAAUGACGGUACCUGACUAAGAAGCCCCGGCUAACUACGUGCCAGCAGCCGCGGUAAUACGUAGGGGGCAAGCGUUAUCCGGAUUUACUGGGGGUAAAGGGAGCGUAGACGGCAGCGCAAGUCUGGAGUGAAAUCCCAUGGCUUAACCAUGGAACUGCUUUGGAAACUGUGCAGCUAGAGUGCAGGAGAGGAAAGCGGAAUUCCUAGUGUAGCGGUGAAAUGCGUAGAUAUUAGGAGGAACACCAGUGGCGAAGGCGGCUUACUGGACUGUAACUGACGUUGAGGCUCGAAAGCGUGGGGAGCAAACAGGAUUAGAUACCCCAGUAGUC